GACGAACGCUGGCGGCGUGCUUAACACAUGCAAGUCGAACGGAAAGGCUCCAGCUUGCUGGAGUACUCGAGUGGCGAACAGGUGAGUAACACGUGGGUAAUCUGCCCUGCACUCUGGGAUAAGCCUGGGAAACUGGGUCUAAUACUGGAUAUGACCUUUCUCCUUAUGGGGUUUGGUGGAAAGUUUUUCGGUGUAGGAUGAGCCCGCGGCCUAUCAGCUUGUUGGUGGGGUGAUGGCCUACCAAGGCGACGACGGGUAGCCGGCCUGAGAGGGUGAUCGGCCACAUUGGGACUGAGAUACGGCCCAGACUCCUACGGGAGGCAGCAGUGGGGAAUAUUGCACAAUGGGCGGAAGCCUGAUGCAGCGACGCCGCGUGAGGGAUGACGGCCUUCGGGUUGUAAACCUCUUUCAGCAGGGACGAAGCGUAAGUGACGGUACCUGCAGAAGAAGCACCGGCUAACUAUGUG
RNAcentral lists this ribosomal RNA (467 nucleotides) under uncultured bacterium. RNAcentral's name for it is "partial 16S ribosomal RNA". It matches the Rfam family "Bacterial small subunit ribosomal RNA", at positions 28 to 507 of the family's 1533-position model. The record is from RNAcentral.